RNAcentral lists this unclassified non-coding RNA (346 nucleotides) under soil metagenome. Its description in RNAcentral is "partial contains 5.8S ribosomal RNA, internal transcribed spacer 2, and large subunit ribosomal RNA". The stretch from base 1 to 120 matches the Rfam family "5.8S ribosomal RNA", at positions 35 to 154 of the family's 154-position model. The record is from RNAcentral.
GAUGAAGAACGUAGCGAAAUGCGAUAAUUAAUGUGAAUUGCAGAAUUCCGUGAAUCAUCGAGUCUUUGAACGCACAUUGCGCCCCCUGGUAUUCCGGGGGGCAUGCCUGUCAGAGCGUCAUUGCUGCCCUCAAGCACGGCUUGUGUGUUGGGCCCCGUCCUCCGAUCCCGGGGGACGGGCCCGAAAGGCAGCGGCGGCACCGCGUCCGGUCCUCGAGCGUAUGGGGCUUUGUCACCCGCUCUGUAGGCCCGGCCGGCGCUUGCCGAUCAACCCAAAUUUUUAUCCAGGUUGACCUCGGAUCAGGUAGGGAUACCCGCUGAACUUAAGCAUAUCAAUAAGCGGAGGA